AACGAACGCUGGCGGCAUGCCUAACACAUGCAAGUCGAACGAGACCUUCGGGCCUAGUUGCGCACGGGUGCGUAACGCGUGGUAACCUGCCCUUAGGUUCCGUAUAACUGCCCGAAAGGGGAGCUAAUACAGCUGAAGCUCUUCGCACCUAAGAUUUCUCGCCUUUUGAUGGGCGCGCGUUGGAUUAGGUGGUUGGUAGGGUAAAAGCCUACCAAGGCGACGAUCCAUAGCUGGUGUGGGAGGAGGAUAAGCCACACUGGGACUGAGACACGGACCAGACUCCUAGGCAGGGGAGCGGUGGGGAAUAUUGGAGGAGGAGCGAAAGCCUGAUCACGCAAUGCCGGGUGAGUGAUGCAGGCCUUAGGGUUGUAAAGCUCUUUUACCCGGGAUGAUAAUGACAGUAACGGGAGAAUAAGCUCCGGCUAACUACGUG
RNAcentral lists this ribosomal RNA (433 nucleotides) under uncultured bacterium. Its description in RNAcentral is "partial 16S ribosomal RNA". It matches the Rfam family "Bacterial small subunit ribosomal RNA", at positions 29 to 507 of the family's 1533-position model. The record is from RNAcentral.